GAGGAAUAUUGGUCAAUGGGCGCAAGCCUGAACCAGCCAUGCCGCGUGCAGGAAGACGGUCCUAUGGAUUGUAAACUGCUUUUAUUCGGGGAUAAACCUCCUUACGUGUAGGGAGCUGAAGGUACCGAAAGAAUAAGCACCGGCUAACUCCGUGCCAGCAGCCGCGGUAAUACGGAGGGUGCAAGCGUUAUCCGGAAUCAUUGGGUUUAAAGGGUCCGCAGGCGGGAUUGUAAGUCAGUGGUGAAAAGCGGCAGCUCAACUGUCGUCGUGCCGUUGAUACUGCAGUUCUUGAAUUUGAUUGGAGUGGGCGGAAUAUGUCAUGUAGCGGUGAAAUGCUUAGAUAUGACAUAGAACACCGAUCGCGAAGGCAGCUCACUAAGUCUGAAUUGACGCUCAUGGACGAAAGCGCGGGUAGCAAACA
Molecule: ribosomal RNA, 421 nt
Filed under: uncultured Fluviicola sp.
Lineage: Bacteria; Pseudomonadati; Bacteroidota; Flavobacteriia; Flavobacteriales; Crocinitomicaceae
Description: bacterial SSU rRNA
Rfam family: Bacterial small subunit ribosomal RNA
Source: RNAcentral